Molecule: long non-coding RNA, 276 nt
Organism: Ruditapes philippinarum (Manila clam)
Lineage: Eukaryota; Metazoa; Mollusca; Bivalvia; Venerida; Veneridae
Exons: 3
Source: RefSeq, a predicted model, not a curated record
CUAUUUUCCGAUAGAUGGACGGAUGUCCACAUGUGAAAAUAUAUUAUCAAAAUUCUCAUUUAUAAAACAAUUUUCUGUAUAACCAAGUGCUGACAUUUACAUACAAACAUGUCAUCUGGAGGAUAUCAGAGGGAGUUAGAUCUAGCACCAACUGCAACCAUUGAUAAAGUUGCUUUAAACAAUAAGGUUGUGCUAAUGAGAGCUAUUGUAAGACGAUCCAAAUUACACCUCAUUAAUGGUUUAGUAAAGAAAGUUCAUAAAUUGAGGGACAAAAAG